RNAcentral lists this unclassified non-coding RNA (2977 nucleotides) under Leishmania donovani. Its description in RNAcentral is "gene:LdHU3.31.0740(CDS-product:Cyclic_nucleotide-binding_domain_containing_protein_putative)". Lineage: Eukaryota; Euglenozoa; Kinetoplastea; Trypanosomatida; Trypanosomatidae. The record is from RNAcentral.
ACUGCGCGUGUGUCGCGUAUGUGUCUCUCUCCCUUUUCGACGCUGCUACGGUUUGCCGCGUCUGGACCACGGCGCAACACCUUCCUCUGCUCUCCAGAACGGUGGGAUGGGCGCCUGCUGCUGUAAAAAUCCGACCUCCUCCGUGGCGAUGGUAGCGGGGGAGGGGGUCGAGUCUAUCCCUCAGGGAGGCGAGGGCAGUGGGGGUGCUCCCACAUCGAGCACCUUCUCUGGCCCUUCUGCGUGCCCCCUCACUCUACCCGGCCACUCGGAGGGCGAGACAGCCACGGUAGCUUCUAUGCCGUUAGCCUUGGACAGCGCAGACAAAAUCGGCGCUGAAGGGCACUUCGAGCGCGGUGAUGGAUCCGAUGAGCUCUCGAGUGACACAUGGCCAUCGUUGCACGCCCGAGUCUGGCGCCGACGCGGCGGCGUAUCAGGCGAGACUCCCUCGCGCGCUCUCACCGCUGCUAUGUGGCAGUGGCGACAGCCGCCUUGGGAGAGCCCGGAGGAGUGGCAGGUGCUCCGCCGAGUGCUUUGCGGCCAUCCGCUCUUUGCCGCCUGCCGCGACGAUGCGUCGAUGCUGCGGGAUGUCAUAGAGGUCUUUGAGAGGCAGGAGACGCAGCCGGGAGAGGUGAUUGCGUCGCCAGGGGACAGCUGCGCUUUCCAUGUCGUGGUGAAGGGCCAAGCUGUGGCUGACGUCGGCGAUGGCGAUGCAGUGAUUGCACAGGCGAAGAACAAGCGACAGGAGUGGGCUGUCGGGGACUACUUUGGGAGUGAGGGUCUGCUGUACGUCUUGAACCCAGACGAUGAGGGCGCAGCGGUGUGCGCCGCGGGCCACCCCGAUGCAUCUUCGCCCACUGCCACGUGGCGGCUGAAUCGCAUGCUCUAUCAGAUGCUGAUGCGCACCUUCUACGAUGACGCACACCUCCAGCUCAUGAAGUACUUUUUCCAGUCGCCGCUCUUUCAGCAUCUCUCUCGUGCACAGAUACGACACCUCUGCGAGAAGGCAGAGAUGGUGACAUGGGACACAUCGGCGCGUUUGUUGCAGAGGGGUGAGGUGCCGACCAGCCUCUUUCUUUUAAUUUCUGGCACCGUGGCCCUCAUGCAUGUCCAGCGGGGCGGCGGUGGCCACGCAGGCGUGCCACGCGUGCAGUCCAUCGUUCUUGGCGCAGGCGACUGCGUGGGCGAUGCCGAGCUUCUCCUCUUGCAUCGCGCAGCAGACGAGGAAGACGUCACCACUGCCUCGAAGAGGCUGAUAGCGAUGCAUUCGUUGUGCACGUACGCAGUGCAGAAGCCGGUACAGGCGAUCCGCAUCCCUAUUGAAGAUCUUCUUGCCGUGCUUUCAGGGCACGAUCUGCAGCACAUGCGGGAGCGCAGUCGCAGCGUGCGAGAGUUGGAACUGUGGCAGCGGCAGGCGCAGAUGCCGGGUGGCCUGCGCUCUCUCGUGGAUGAGUGUCUCGUGCUGAACAUCUCCAACCCCAACAGCGACAGUGACAGCGACAGCGACGAGGAUUCGCUGGUGUUGCAGGGAGGACCCAGCGUUGCUGCGUCUCCGCUGUCGAGGCGGCUCUCCGACGACGCGUCGCAGGAUGUAUUUGUGAAAGGUGCCGAUGCAACGGCCUUCUUCCUCGAGCAGAUGUUCUCCCGUCAGACGUAUCGUCGCGCGGACGGGCGAGAGCGCGGCCUUUCCAUGGCCACCUUCGCCCCGCGCCAGCGAUACCUAGUCGGGACGGUUCUGUUCCACGUCGAGUACGCUGCAAGUGGCAACGGUAUGAUGCGUGCGAGUGGAGGACUGCCGCCAAGUGAUGACGGGAAGGGUGCAGCGAGCACAGCAGGCUCUUCUGCAGCUGCAGGGUCUCGCAAGUCUCAUGGGUGUCUCUACGCCGUCUUCUCCGGCGAAGUAACCGUCGUGAACAGCGACACGGGCGAGGCCAUCUACAGCGUCUCCCGCGGCAACACGCUCGGUGAAGAGGCGCUUCUCGCUCCGCUUCGUUGCUGCUCUGCGACGAACCCUCUGCGCACGCACGCGGUUGUCUCCAGCUCCGAUGGGUGCGAGGUGUUUGAGCUCAGCUGGCGCGCGUUCAAGGAGUUCUUGCAGCGACCGUACUGUGAGGCCCUCCGCGACUUCUGCAGUGUGUUCUGCGUCUUUCCAUUCGCAUGGUGCUUUCCUCAACACUACUGGCAUUUUUUGUUCAACUGCACGACGGAGCGCGAGGCAGUCGGCGGCGACCUCAUCGGCGUUCGCGGGGCAGACUGCAAGUGCGUGUCGCUCAUCCUCGAUGGCCGACUCGACGCUUAUGCCAGAAGCAGUGCAGCGGACAGUGGAGGGAAAGAACAAGACCACGAUGAGGAGACGUCGGUGGCGUCGUUUGCGGCAGGCGACAUCGUCGGCGGGUGGGAGGUGAUGGAGGGACGCCCCUGCAAUGUGGCGUACGUGUGUGUGUGCCGCACUCGUAUGCUGUGCGUUCCUGCCGAGUCCUUUGCCGGCCUCUUCCGUCCAGCGAUGCCGUAUCUGCGGCUCAUGUGGUCCGAACGGCGAUAUAAAAGGGUCAUGGUGGUGUCAGCGACGGAAGGCUGACCUACCACGGCGCUUUUGAACAUGUGUGUAUCUGCGUGCGCAUCACUGCUGUCGCUGCUCCCUUGGCAUGGCCACGCCGUCCGCGCAAGAGCGCUGCGGCGACGCGUCGCACCAUGCGCCUCCCUCUCGCUUUCGUGCGAGCGAGCCUCUGCUGCCCUUUGCCUUUAUCUGUAUGCGUUUUCGAAUCUAUGGAAUGCUCGGUAGUCGCACAUCAGCUGCUGCUCCCUCUCACCUGACUCUGCUGGACCAAAUCCAUGUGCGUGCCUGCGAAUGUUUGCGCUCAGCAGCGAGGUCGCCAUCUUGUGCCUUGUGACACCUUGUCCGCUGGCACACGUUUCGCGCGAGCAGGCACGCGUAUACCCAAUAUGUAAUUCUACCCAGCUGCUCAGUCUGUUCUUAUGU